CUCUCUCUCUCUCUCUCUCUCUCUCUCUCUCUCGACCUAAACAAGAUCUAGUUUUUUCUCCCCUCCUAAUUUUCGAUCUCUCUCCUCUCUAGUGUUUUCAAUCUUCUGCGUGACUUCUUUCAAUUGUGAUGUGGCCAGGGAGGCCACGAAGUUCUUGACUUGGAGGAAGCAGUUCAAGCACGGCCACGGCGACUUCAAACCUAAUGUCAACAAUGCUCUCAAGAUGUUCUUGAAGGCUGCCGAGCUUAGGUCCACGAAGGCGAUGGUCGAUGCCGGACUCAUAUUCUGGGAGAGAGGCGACAAGGUUAAGGCGUUUGGGUUGUACCGGGAAGCUGCCGAGGCCGGUGACCGGAAUGCGCAGGGCAAUUUGGGAAUGUGGUAUUUGCAAGAAUAAAUUUUUGGUGUGUUGAAGUGAAAUAGCUUUCGCUACGUACGUUUGAGAACAUGGAGUAUGGAGAAGAAUACAUGAAACCUGAUACAGAGACAUAAUUGGGUGAUCCAAGCAUAUUCCAGAGCUGAAUCUUAUGAUAGAGUGCAAGAUGUUGCUGAGUUACUUGGCAUGAUGGUUGAAGACCACAAGCGGUUGCAGCCUAAUGUGAAAACCUAUGCGAUUUUGAGCAGAAAGUAUCAAACACUGGUGAGCUCAAGGGUUGAACCUUUGCAAGAGGAAGCUGAACUUGGACAUGAGAUUGAUUACAUGGCCAGGUACAUUGCAGAGGGAGGGCUUACUGUUGAAAGCAAGCGAUGGGUGCCUCGAAGAGGGAAAACUCCACAGAAAUAUGUAGAUGUAGCUGAGUCAAAUUGUUAUUUUUUUUUAAUAUAUCCCCAAGUUUUGCCACUGAUGUUGGUGCCAUUGAGAACACACUGAUACAAUAACAGUGGGAGAGAAAAAGGUUAUGUUGCAUUGGGUUUUGGUAUGCCACUGUUGUUUUAACAGUGUGGAUUGUCCCAAUAGCACCUCUAAUAGAGGGGACUGAUAUCUCAUUAGUGGCUGCAUAGUGGCUAAUGGCAUUAGCCACUAUUAUCAGUGUGCUUUGUCCCAAUAGGGACUGAUUCAACUCAGUGUGAUUUGGGGAAAUUUGUAGUA
Rosa chinensis is the source of this 1087-nucleotide long non-coding RNA. RefSeq lists it as uncharacterized. Lineage: Eukaryota; Viridiplantae; Streptophyta; Magnoliopsida; Rosales; Rosaceae. The record is from RefSeq and is a predicted model, not a curated record. The transcript has 6 exons.